This 520-nucleotide ribosomal RNA is filed under the name uncultured Glomus. RNAcentral's name for it is "SSU rRNA". It matches the Rfam family "Eukaryotic small subunit ribosomal RNA", at positions 569 to 1092 of the family's 1831-position model. The record is from RNAcentral. Lineage: Eukaryota; Fungi; Glomeromycota; Glomeromycetes; Glomerales; Glomeraceae.
AGCAGCCGCGGUAAUUCCAGCUCCAAUAGCGUAUAUUAAAGUUGUUGCAGUUAAAAAGCUCGUAGUUGAAUUUCGGGAUCAAAUUGUCGGUCGUGCCUCGGUACGCACUGGUAUUAUUGGUUCCUACCUUCUGAAGAACCGCGAUGUCAUUAAUUUGGUGUCGUGGGGAAUCAGGACUGUUACUUUGAAAAAUUAGAGUGUUUAAAGCAGGCUUACGCUUGAAUACAUUAGCAUGGAAUAAUGAAAUAGGACGUUUGAUUCUAUUUUGUUGGUUUCUAGGAUUGACGUAAUGAUUAAUAGGGAUAGUUGGGGGCAUUAGUAUUCAAUUGUCAGAGGUGAAAUUCUUGGAUUUAUUGAAGACUAACUACUGCGAAAGCAUUUGCCAAGGAUGUUUUCAUUAAUCAAGAACGAAAGUUAGGGGAUCGAAGACGAUCAGAUACCGUCGUAGUCUUAACCAUAAACUAUGCCGACUAGGGAUCGGAUGAUGUUAAUUUUUUAAUGACUCAUUCGGCGCCUUACG